Molecule: long non-coding RNA, 399 nt
Organism: Lutra lutra (Eurasian river otter)
Lineage: Eukaryota; Metazoa; Chordata; Mammalia; Carnivora; Mustelidae
Exons: 3
Source: RefSeq, a predicted model, not a curated record
AUUUGGUGCUACGACCCAGGUAGUAUUUGUCCCUGCUUCAGGAUCCUGUUUACUCCUACCAGGUAAUGAGACCCCUUCAGAGCUCUUGUGCUUCAUUCCUGUGUGAUGAUCCAGGGACCCAAAAUGUUUUAGACACUCUUGCAAAGAAAAGAUGGACAUCCACCCAAAAUGUGGUUCAGAUUGGAGACUGAUGUUGCUACAGGAACACCAAGAAGCAGCCAGAGGAAGACUGAAGACCAUGUGGGAUGUUGGGACCUCAAAAUUGGAAGAGCUUCAGUGCCUGAAUCAUUACCUGGAAAAAGCUGCUUCCUGACUAUGAACACAAACCCUCACUUUUACAGGAGCAAAAACAUUCAUUUUGCUCAGCCACUAGAUUUUGGUUUUGUUGUUGUUGUUUCG